Molecule: ribosomal RNA, 130 nt
Filed under: Nigrospora gorlenkoana
Lineage: Eukaryota; Fungi; Ascomycota; Sordariomycetes; Amphisphaeriales; Apiosporaceae
Description: partial large subunit ribosomal RNA
Rfam family: Eukaryotic large subunit ribosomal RNA
Source: RNAcentral
UUGACCUCGGAUCAGGUAGGAAUACCCGCUGAACUUAAGCAUAUCAAUAAGCGGAGGAAAAGAAACCAACAGGGAUUCCCCUAGUAACGGCGAGUGAAGCGGGAACAGCUCAAAUUUGAAAUCUGGCCCU